GCCUCGUCUGCCGCGUGCUGUUCGCGGAGGGAUGCAGCGUGCCGUCUGGUCUGGGUAUCUCCUGCUGGCCUCUCAGGGUGCAGAAACUCCUGGAGGAGGAAAACCUCAGGCCGAUGUGUGUGUGAUGAAGACAGUUAUGCUACUCAUAGAAGAAGUGAAGCUCACAGCCUCCCAGGACCUGAGACCUGCGGUGAAUGACCCGCCCAGAAACUCAGGGGUCUGCAUCUCCACGCACAGCAGGUUCACCCAGCAGGUCCCUCGCGGGGGCAGGGGCGCCUCAGCAAACCCACCCCAUCCUCCACACGCUUCCCAGCUUCGGCAGGCAUCGGGCUCACUCUCUGGCUGGCCAGUCCCAGGAUCUGAGUCGGGGCUGGGCCCUGCGAAGUGACCCGUCCAAG
RNAcentral lists this long non-coding RNA (398 nucleotides) under Mustela putorius furo (domestic ferret). RNAcentral's name for it is "lncRNA (ENSMPUG00000032015.1)". The record is from RNAcentral. Lineage: Eukaryota; Metazoa; Chordata; Mammalia; Carnivora; Mustelidae.